RNAcentral lists this long non-coding RNA (279 nucleotides) under Brassica napus (rape). RNAcentral's name for it is "long non-coding RNA (BNAP_LNC004299)". Lineage: Eukaryota; Viridiplantae; Streptophyta; Magnoliopsida; Brassicales; Brassicaceae. The record is from RNAcentral.
AUGGACAACUUUUUUUGCCACAGAAAUUAGUACACAAGUAAGUAACUAACUGUUUUCUAAGAUUUUGAACGCUUUGCAAACAAGAGCAAUCAACUUUGACCAGAAACAAUGAAAGCAUGAAAAAAAGACUUUUGAGUAAAGCGAGCUUGGUCUGAUGUCCUUGAAGGCAUCACUAGUCCCUGCUUUAGAAUCAUGCACAACCACGUUUGCACCUGAUACCUGUUAGUUUUGGUUUAGAAAGUAUAUUCAAAUGAAUCCUUUCAAAACUACUUUUUUUUG